GACGAACGCUGGCGGCGUGCCUAAUACAUGCGAGUAGAACGCUGAAGGAGGAGCUUGCUUCUCUGGAUGAGUUGCGAACGGGUGAGUAACGCGUAGGUAACCUGCCUGGUAGCGGGGGAUAACUAUUGGAAACGAUAGCUAAUACCGCAUAAUAGUAGAUGUUGCAUGACAUUUGCCUAAAAGGUGCAAUUGCAUCACUACCAGAUGGACCUGCGUUGUAUUAGCUAGUUGGUGGGGUAACGGCUCACCAAGGCGACGAUACAUAGCCGACCUGAGAGGGGGAUCGGCCACACUGGGACUGAGACACGGCCCAGACUCCUACGGGAGGCAGCAGUAGGGAAUCUUCGGCAAUGGACGGAAGUCUGACCGAGCAACGCCGCGUGAGUGAAGAAGGGUUUCGGAUCGUAAAGCUCUGUUGUAAGAGAAGAACGAGUGUGAGAGUGGAAAGUUCACACUGUGACGGUAUCUUACCAGAAAGGGACGGCUAACUACGUG
This 495-nucleotide ribosomal RNA is filed under the name uncultured bacterium. Its description in RNAcentral is "partial 16S ribosomal RNA". It matches the Rfam family "Bacterial small subunit ribosomal RNA", at positions 28 to 507 of the family's 1533-position model. The record is from RNAcentral.